CCUACGGGAGGCAGCAGUGAGGAAUAUUGGUCAAUGGACGAGAGUCUGAACCAGCCAAGUAGCGUGAAGGAUGAAUGCCCUAUGGGUUGUACACUUCUUUUAUAUGGGAAUAAAAUGUUCCACGUGUGGGAUUUUGUCUGUACCUUAUGAAUAAUGAUCGGCUAACUCCGUUCCAGCAGCCGCGGUAAUACGGAGGAUACGAGCGUUCUCCGGAUUUAUUGGGUUUAAAAGGAACGUAGGUGGAUUGUUAAGUCAGUGGUGAAAGUUUGCGGCUCAAACGUAAAAGUGCAGUUGAAAAUGGCAGUCUUGAGUACAGUAGAGGUGGGCGGAAUUCGUGGUGUAGCGGGGAAAUGCUUAGAUAUCACGAAGAACUCCGAUUGCGAAGGCAGCUCACUGGACUGCAACUGACACUGAGGCUCGAAAGUGUGGGUAUCAAACAGGAUGAGAUACCCCAGUAGUC
RNAcentral lists this ribosomal RNA (460 nucleotides) under uncultured bacterium. Its description in RNAcentral is "partial 16S ribosomal RNA". It matches the Rfam family "Bacterial small subunit ribosomal RNA", at positions 338 to 795 of the family's 1533-position model. The record is from RNAcentral.